GACGAACGCUGGCGGCGUGCUUAACACAUGCAAGUCGGACGGGAAGUCCCUGCUUUUGUGGCGUACGCGAGUGUCGAGCGGAUGAAUAACACGUGGGUAAGCUGCCCAUAACUGGGGGAUAUCGUCAAUAAACUGUGGCUAGUACCGGAUAGGAACGCCUGCUGCAGGGUGGGGGUUUGAGAGUGUCGGAGUUUGGGGAUGGACUCUCGGCUUAUCAGGUGAUUGGUGGGGUAGUGUCUUACCAAGGCUUUGACGGGCAGCCGGCCUGCGAGGGUGACCGGCCACAUUGGGGCUGAGGUACGGCCCAGACUACUCCGGGAGGAAGCAGUGGGGAAUAUUGCACCACGGGCGGAAGCAUGAUGCAGCAACGCUGCGUGCGGGAUGAAGGACUUCGGGUUGUCAUGCGCUUUCGUCCGUGAAGAAGAGUGAGUGACGGUAACGGGUAAAGAAGCACCGGCUAACUCCGUG
This 468-nucleotide ribosomal RNA is filed under the name uncultured bacterium. RNAcentral's name for it is "partial 16S ribosomal RNA". It matches the Rfam family "Bacterial small subunit ribosomal RNA", at positions 28 to 507 of the family's 1533-position model. The record is from RNAcentral.